Molecule: ribosomal RNA, 587 nt
Filed under: uncultured Arcobacter sp.
Lineage: Bacteria; Pseudomonadati; Campylobacterota; Epsilonproteobacteria; Campylobacterales; Arcobacteraceae
Description: bacterial SSU rRNA
Rfam family: Bacterial small subunit ribosomal RNA
Source: RNAcentral
AGAUUAGCUUGCUUUAGUUGUCAGCUAAGUGGCGCACGGGUGAGUAAUGUAUAGAUAACCUGCCCUCUGGAAAGGAAUAACAGUUGGAAACGACUGCUAAUGCCCUAUAUGCCUUUAAUACAUAAGUAUGCAAGGGAAACGCUUUAGUGCUAGAGGAUGGGUCUGUAUGGUAUCAGUUAGUUGGUGAGGUAAUGGCUCACCAAGACUAUGACGCCUAACUGGUUUGAGAGGAUGAUCAGUCACACUGGAACUGAGACACGGUCCAGACUCCUACGGGAGGCAGCAGUGGGGAAUAUUGCACAAUGGACGAAAGUCUGAUGCAGCAACGCCGCGUGGAGGAUGACACAUUUCGGUGCGUAAACUCCUUUUAUAUAGGAAGAUAAUGACGGUACUAUAUGAAUAAGCACCGGCUAACUCCGUGCCAGCAGCCGCGGUAAUACGGAGGGUGCAAGCGUUACUCGGAAUCACUGGGCGUAAAGAGCGUGUAGGCGGGUAUAUAAGUCAGAAGUGAAAUCCUAUAGCUUAACUAUAGAACUGCUUUUGAAACUGUAUACCUAGAAUGUGGGAGAGGUAGAUGGAAUUUCUGG